UACAUGUCUUGCAUGUGACAACAAAUCAAAUACCAUAGAACCUUUCUGGGACUUGUCAUUGGAGUUUCCAGAAAGGUAUCAAUGCAGUGGAAAAGAUAUUGCUUCCCAGCCAUGUCUGGUUACUGAAAUGUUGGCCAAAUUUACAGAAACUGAAGCUUUAGAAGGAAAAAUCUACGUAUGUGACCAGUGUAACUCAAAGCGUAGAAGGUUUUCCUCCAAACCAGUUGUACUCACAGAAGCCCAGAAACAACUUAUGAUAUGCCACCUACCUCAGGUUCUCAGACUGCACCUCAAACGAUUCAGGUCUGUAGUAGGACCAGUUGCAAAGUUAUCAUUCCUUGUGCUUAUAAUGCUUCAAAACUUAAAGAAUGCAUGUUAUAAUUUUUUCCCCUUACUUUAAUCACCUUUCUGACAAAUGAAUUAACUUUUAAUAUCAUAUACUUGGCUAGUAAAUGACUUACAU
Molecule: long non-coding RNA, 463 nt
Filed under: Homo sapiens (human)
Lineage: Eukaryota; Metazoa; Chordata; Mammalia; Primates; Hominidae
Description: non-protein coding lnc-NTN4-2:1
Source: RNAcentral